RNAcentral lists this long non-coding RNA (1107 nucleotides) under Mus musculus (house mouse). RNAcentral's name for it is "long non-coding RNA chr17:12822832-12823939". Lineage: Eukaryota; Metazoa; Chordata; Mammalia; Rodentia; Muridae. The record is from RNAcentral.
UCUUCUUUAUAAAGCGUGUUUGCCGACAUUAAAAUUGAACCUUGAGCAGACUAGUUGUCUUGGUUUCAUUAUUUCUCAACCCACCUAGGCUCCCUCUUUUCUUCCAGAUUCCAAGAUGCCUUCCAGGCUCGAACCCGGACAUGAGAGCCACAGGCCAGCCUCAACAAAUCAUCAGUCUUUAAUAUCUGUCAAUAUCAACAGACUCAAUUCCCCAAUAAGACAUAAGCUAACAGACUGGAUAUGCAAGCAGGAUCCAGCAUUUUGCUGCAUACAAGAAACACAUCUCAAUAACAAAGACAGACACAACCUCAGAGUUGAAAGCUUGAAAAAAGUCUUCCAAGCAAAUGGUCCCAAGAAACAAGCUGAAGUUGCCAUCCUAAUAUCUAAUAAAAUAGACUUUCAACCAAAAGUUAUUAAGCAUGAUGAGGAAAAACACCUCAUAUUCACCAAAGGGAAAAUUUACCAAGAGAAAGUCUUAAUUCUGAAUAUCUAUGCCCAAAAUGCAAGGUCACCCACAUUCAUAAAAGAAACUAAAGCUCAAAACACACAUUGAACCCCACACAAUAAUAAUGGGAGGCUUUAACACCCCACUCUCACCUAUGGACAGGUCAUUGAAACAAAAAAUAAACAGAGACACUAAACAGAAACUAAUAGAAGCUAUAAACCAAAUGGAUUUAACAGAUAUAGAGAGAGAACAUUUCACCCUAAAACAAAAGAAUAUACCUUCUCAAACUUCAUGGUACCUUUUACAAAAUUGACCAUAUAAUUAAUCACAAAACAGGCCUCAACAGAUACAAGAAGAUUGAAAUAAUCCCAUGCAUCCUAUCAAAUUACCACAGACUAAGGCUAGAUUUCAACAACAAAAACAACAGAAACCCCAGAUACCCAUGAAAACUGAACAGCUCUCUACUCAAUGAUAAUUUAGUCAGGGAAAAAAAUAAAGAAAAAAGACUUUUUAGAUUUCAACAAAAAUGAAGGCACAACAUAUCCAAAUUUAUGAGACAAAAUGAAAACAGGACUAAGAGGAAAAUCCAUAGUACUUCAUGCCUUCAUAAGGAAAUUGGAGAGAUCUUACACUAACAACUUAACAGCAUACCUAAAAGCCCU